Non-coding RNA from Pteropus alecto (black flying fox), 46 nucleotides. Lineage: Eukaryota; Metazoa; Chordata; Mammalia; Chiroptera; Pteropodidae. The record is from Rfam.
CCAACGGCUCUUUUAAGAGCCACCAACAUACUUCCAGGAAGGGUUG